CUGAACUGAGAUAUGAAGUAUACUUACUGUUAGUUAAAAAAGGCAUGAAAAUACAUUUCAGGGAGAAGAACUAGCAAAAGCACAAGUGCAGAGGCAUGGAAUAGCAUGGGACACGCCACAAUCAUUAUAGGCAGAUAGUUUUUACUAGACUAUAAAAGAAAUUCAGAACAAGAGGGAGGAGAGACUGGUUAGGUGCAUCUGCUUGGCAGAACCGAUGUCUCACUCCUGCAUGCUAGUUAAAAGGAUGUUUGGAAAAUGCAAUUCGUGGGCUGCCAGCCUCUGUUGUUCAUGAAGAAAGGUUACAAGAAUAAUACAAAGAAGAGUGACAUCAGCAUCACGGCAGAGUGAACUUGUGUGACUCUCUCCCUUCCAACAUACAACAAAAAGGGAAAUCCAUACUCCAACAGAAGACACCCCAACAUAAUACAAAAACCUCUGAGACACAUGCAGCCAUAUGACAAGGGGUGGACAGGCUGGAGCCCCCCUCAGAGGAGGUGGAAUGGGGUAAAAGAGAUCUUUGCUCCCUCCCCUAAAGACUGAACUUGUGACUGUGGGAGGAACCACAAGAGAAGGAGUGGGUGAGGGAUUGCUCAUUGGUGGGAUCAACCAGGACUCCCUAGGGCUCAUGCAGCCUAGAUGGAAGCCCUCUAAUGGGGGAAAAGCUUUUGUGGGGAGUGACCUCAUCAAGCCAACAAGCCAAGAGACCACAUAGGGA
RNAcentral lists this long non-coding RNA (715 nucleotides) under Equus caballus (horse). RNAcentral's name for it is "lncRNA (ENSECAG00000060112.1)". The record is from RNAcentral. Lineage: Eukaryota; Metazoa; Chordata; Mammalia; Perissodactyla; Equidae.